Molecule: transfer RNA, 49 nt
Filed under: Rhinella acrolopha (Cerro Mali beaked toad)
Lineage: Eukaryota; Metazoa; Chordata; Amphibia; Anura; Bufonidae
Description: partial tRNA-Ile
Source: RNAcentral
GGAAGUGUGCCCGAAAGUUAAGGACCUCCUUGAUAAGGAGGACAAUAAG